CCGAACAGAUCCGGGCCUACUUUGACGAUGAGAAUGAUGGUCUUCGCUCAGUGGCCUUUGUCCUAUUUGGCAUCCUGGCUCAGUUGACAAAGAAAAAAUGGAAGGCCUAUUUCGCUGAGCAGGUUCGAAAGAGCUGGGUCAUACUUCUGCUGCACCUGCAAGACCCAAGUCCCGAGGUUUCAAUGGAAUGCAGAGCUACAUUUCACCUCUGUUUCCCGUUUUGGGACUGAAGAGACUCCAAC
Mauremys reevesii (Reeves's turtle) is the source of this 242-nucleotide long non-coding RNA. RefSeq lists it as uncharacterized. NCBI's taxonomy places the organism in Eukaryota, Metazoa, Chordata, Testudines, Geoemydidae. The record is from RefSeq and is a predicted model, not a curated record. The transcript has 3 exons.